This 387-nucleotide ribosomal RNA is filed under the name uncultured bacterium. Its description in RNAcentral is "bacterial SSU rRNA". It matches the Rfam family "Bacterial small subunit ribosomal RNA", at positions 28 to 417 of the family's 1533-position model. The record is from RNAcentral.
GACGAACGCUGGCGGCGUGCUUAACACAUGCAGGUCGAGCGGUAAGGCCCUUUCGGGGGUACACGAGCGGCGAACGGGUGAGUAACACGUGGGUGACCUGCCCUUAGCUCUGGGAUAAGCCUGGGAAACUGGGUCUAAUACCGGAUAUGACUCCAUGACGCAUGUUGUGGGGUGGAAAGCCUUGUGCGGCUAGGGAUGGGCCCGCGGCCUAUCAGCUUGUUGGUGGGGUGAUGGCCUACCAAGGCGACGACGGGUAGCCGGCCUGAGAGGGCGACCGGCCACACUGGGACUGAGACACGGCCCAGACUCCUACGGGAGGCAGCAGUGGGGAAUCUUGCGCAAUGGGCGAAAGCCUGACGCAGCGACGCCGCGUGGGGAUGACGGCCU